This 364-nucleotide long non-coding RNA is filed under the name Gossypium barbadense (sea-island cotton). Its description in RNAcentral is "long non-coding RNA (GBAR_LNC010859)". Lineage: Eukaryota; Viridiplantae; Streptophyta; Magnoliopsida; Malvales; Malvaceae. The record is from RNAcentral.
AGCCUCCAAAAAAAUCUCACUCAACCCGAUCAUAGGCUUUGCUCAUAUCGAGCUUGAGUGCGAAAGGGCUGGCACCCCCAUGUCACUUGUGUUAAAACACCUCAUAAGCAAUAAGUAAAUUGUUAGUGAUGAACGACCACGAACAAACACGAUUUGAGCCUCAUCAAUAUAGACAUGCAAAGCCCUCUUAAACCUGUUCAUUAGAACUAUAGAGAUAAUCUUAUAGAGGAUUGUAUGGAGACUAAGUGGAAGUGUGACAUAUACAUCGGGUUGCGUACCUUGGGAAUAAGAACGAGAUUCAUGGCGUUGAUAUCAGAUAUAGGAAGCUCCCCCUAAAGCACUCUUGGGAAAUAAUCUAUGAUAU